UCUUUUCUUUCUUUAUUUCUUUUUUUCAGCCUUUUUUUCUUCUCUUUUCUUCCUUUCUUUCUUCCUCCCCGAUCAGCCCCCCGCCGAUUUCUCUGCUGCUGCCGGUGCUUUCUCCGCCUGCGGUGCAACGGCCGACGACGGCGACGUGCGGUGGAGCUCUCCUUUUCUCCCUCUUUUCUUCUUUGCUUGCUCCUUUUUUUUUUAUUUUCAUGGGUAUUUUUCUUUGAUGAUUUUUUUGCUUGAUUUGCUUUCUUUGGUGGUAGUAGAUGGGAGUAUAACGGUGGUGGCGGUUUGACGACGCACGGUGGCGAUGAGGCUGCUGUUUUUGCUUGAUUUUUCUCUCAAAAAUUUUGUUAUUUUUUUUCUUUUUGCUUCCUUGCUUGGCUGCUGAAUUGGGGGUUUGAAAACCCUUUUAAAUUGUUGAUUUUUCUUCUUUUUUUGCAGGUAGCAAGUGGUUAGGGGAGAGAGAAGCCAUGCUUUAGGUCGGCUGUCGCAGUGUAGGUGCGCAACUUGCAUUGUCGGAUGCCAGACGGACCAAAUUGCAAACACAGUAAAACUUUUGGGGCCAAAAUAUAAUUUUGAGAAAAUUUAGGGCUCAAAAUGUAAUUUCAAAAAGCUUAGGGGUCAAAAUAUAAUUUUAGGAAAUUUUAGGGUCAAAAUGCAAUUUUAAAAAUUUUAGGGGUCAAAAUGUAAUUUUUUAUUUUUGUAUUUUUUAGAAAUUUAAAAAAAAAAAAACGAAAUCAAGCUGGACAAAAUUCAGUGAUUACAGGGACAUUUGAAUCAAAGAUCUUAGUCAAUGUGUCCCAUUCUCCUGUGCCAUAAUUUGGUUUCAUCUAGCGAACUGGUAUAAGUAACAGAAGUUGCCAAGUUCCAAUUAACAGUAAAACUUUUAUCAACC
Molecule: long non-coding RNA, 898 nt
Filed under: Gossypium raimondii (Peruvian cotton)
Lineage: Eukaryota; Viridiplantae; Streptophyta; Magnoliopsida; Malvales; Malvaceae
Description: long non-coding RNA (GRAI_LNC006060)
Source: RNAcentral